GUUGAACGCUGGCGGCGGGCCUAACACAUGCAAGUCGAGCGGACGAAGGGAGCUUGCUCCUGGAUUCAGCGGCGGACGGGUGAGUAAUUCCCAGGAAUCUGCCUGGGAGUGGGGGCUAACGUCCGGACACGGGCGCUAAUACCGCAUACGUCCUGAGGUAGAAAGUGGGGGAUCUUCGGACCUCACGCUAUCUGAUGAGCCUAGGUCGGAUUAGCUAGUUGGUGAGGUAAAGGCGUACCAAGGCGACGAUCCGUAACUGGUCUGAGAGGAUGAUCAGUCACACUGGAACUGAGACACGGUCCAGACUCCUACGGGAGGCAGCAGUGGGGAAUAUUGGACAAUGGGCGAAAGCCUGAUGCAGCCAUGCCGCGUGUGUGAAGAAGGUCUUCGGAUUGUAAAGCACUUUAAGUUGGGAGGAAGGGCAGUAAGUUAAUCCCUUGAUGUCUUGACGUUACCAACAGAGUAAGCCCCGGCUAACUUCGUG
RNAcentral lists this ribosomal RNA (484 nucleotides) under uncultured bacterium. RNAcentral describes it as "partial 16S ribosomal RNA". It matches the Rfam family "Bacterial small subunit ribosomal RNA", at positions 28 to 507 of the family's 1533-position model. The record is from RNAcentral.